CCUACGGGAGGCAGCAGUAAGGAAUAUUGGACAAUGGAGGCAACUCUGAUCCAGCCAUCCCGCGUGUAGGAUGACGGCCCUCUGGGUUGUAAACUACUUUUAGACAGGAAGAACCACAUUCAUUUAUGAGUGUUUGACGGUACUGUCAGAAUAAGCACCGGGCUAAUUCCGUGCCA
Molecule: ribosomal RNA, 176 nt
Filed under: uncultured Bacteroidota bacterium
Lineage: Bacteria; Pseudomonadati; Bacteroidota
Description: uncultured Bacteroidetes bacterium partial 16S ribosomal RNA
Rfam family: Bacterial small subunit ribosomal RNA
Source: RNAcentral